RNAcentral lists this long non-coding RNA (2851 nucleotides) under Sus scrofa (pig). RNAcentral describes it as "lncRNA (ENSSSCG00025057417.1)". The record is from RNAcentral. Lineage: Eukaryota; Metazoa; Chordata; Mammalia; Artiodactyla; Suidae.
AGGGCUGUACCCGCAGCAUAUGGAAUUUCCCAGACUAGGGGUUGGUCAGAGUUACAGCUGCCAGCCUAUACCACAGCUGCAGAAACACCAGAUCCAAGCUGCAUCUAUGGCAUACACCACAGCUCACUGCAAUGCCAGAUCCUUAACCUACUAAGUGAGGCCAGGGAUUGAACCUGGACCCUCAUUGACCCUAGAUGGGUUCAUUACUGAUGAGCCAGGAUGGAAACUCCAACUAGGAACAUUUUUGUAACCAAGCUAUAGAAAUCAUGAAACAGACAAGCACUGACCCUACCCUAUUAGAACUUAAGAACUUUAUUACUAUAACUUUUAACCAGGAAUUCUGGUUUAUAGAACAAAUCUAAUCACUUUCCACAUGAACAGUUCUUCAAAUACUUGAAUUUAUCUCUCAUAUCUUGCAUGAGAUUUUUUUUAAGGCUAAUUAUGUCAAGUUCCUUCCAACCAUCAUGAUGCAGUAUGUAAGACAGGACUCUGCAGUAGUGAGAAUGUUUAUUUCAUAAGGUUUCUAAAAGCAAAGAGGGAGAAAUUAUGGCAAAGAUAUGUUGCAACUUGUUUCAGCUUAGAGAUAAGAUACACUCUCAAAGUAACACAUGGCUGCCUGGCAGAAUAGAUCUGCUACAUAUACUUACAUAUUGUGAUUUCUAAAUAAAAACUAUUAAUGUCAAAUCAAAUAAAUCUUUUAUUUUUUGCCCUUUUUUUUAGAGCCACUCCCGUGGCAUAUGGAGGUUCCCAGGCUAGGGCUAGAAUUGGAGCUACAGCUGCCAGCCUGUGCCAGAGCCACAGCACCACCAGAUCCAUCUGAGCCACGUCUGCCACCUACACCACAUCUCACGACAACGCCAGAUCCUUAACCCACUGAGUGAGGUCAGGGAUCGAACCCGCAAUCUCAUGGUUCCUAGUCAGAUUUGUUUCUGCUGUGCCAUAACGGGAACUCCAAAUUCAAAUAAAUCUUAAAAGUGAUCCAUGAUGAUGAACAUGAUAUUGACCUAAGUUAUCCAUCCAUAGGGCUUAUAAAAAAUGGCUAAAAGAUAAGAGAUUUGGAGUCAUUCAAAUAGAAGACUAACUAUGAGAAUUUAGGCUGAAUAGGUAAUAGUAGAUAAAGAAAUAGGUUCACUCUGGGGGAAAAAUGAGUCAUUUUUUGUUUGUUUGUUUUGUUUUUUUGUUUUGUUUUGUUUUGGCGAAGAUUGGAAAAUUAAUGACAACACACUAUAUUUAAGGAUAGUAAUAGACUGUGAUGAAACGUGUUUUCAGCAUGACCAGAAAAUAAAUUACAAGUCUCUAAUAGGAAGCCCUAAGAGCCCUUUAAAAUGAAGCAAAAACAACAAAAUCUAUGUCCAAAUCACAAAUAUAAAUGAUGCUGAAUUUGUUUCUCUGGUAUCUGUAGUAUUUUUAAAGAAAAACUCAUCCCUAAAGACGGACUGACUGUCAGAUUUAGGAUGAAACGAUCUGAGGAUUUGAACGUGCCUGCUCCAUAAAAAGGAGUGGGCAGCAGCCUAUUAUAAGCUCUAGUUUGCAAUGAGUUUUCCUUGAAAGUUUUUGAUGGAAAACACCAUUACCCAGUUUGACCACUCACUGCUGGCUCUGAAUGACUAGUACAGUAUUUCCCAAGUCAAAUUCCAUUUAAAAAGCACAGACAUGCCACCACUGCCACCUCAUCUCUGAAGAUAAAGUUUUUCAAAGCCCCUUGAAAGAUAAAGCACUAUUAGAGUAAGUGGGCAUCCCCCUCCAGUAACGACUUGAAAAGAAGUUUUGGGUAUAGGCUGGGCUGAUCUUCAUCUAGUAGACACUGGGAAGACAUGUCUGAUGCAGACAACAUUCUUAUAUAAAAUGGUAAACUAGGGAGUUCCUGUUGUGGUGCAGUGGAAAUAAAUCAGACUGGCAUCCACGAGGAUGCAGGUUUGAUCCCUGGCCUCGCUCAGUGGGUUAAAGAUCUGGUGUUGCCAUGAGCUGUGGUGUAGUUCCCAGACUCAGCUCGGAUCUGGUAUUGCUGUGCCUAUGGUGUAGACUAUCAACUAUAGCUCCAAUUCAACCCCUAGCCCAGGAACCUCCAUAUGCCACAGGUGCAGCCCUAAGAAAAUUUAAAAAAUAAAAUUAAAUAAAUAAAAUGGCUAAAUCCAGUCCUUGGACUAUUUUUUAUUAAUUAAGUCUUGUUGGAACACGGACUGCUCAUUGUUUACAUUUUGUCUAUGGUUGCUCUCACCUACAAUGGCGGCAGAGCUAAAUAGUCCAUAAAGCCUAAAAUAUGUAUUACUUGGCACUUUACAGAUGUUUAUCUACUCCUGAUUUAGACUAUCACCAGUGUAUAUACUUACUGACGUUUGUGAGUUUUCAACCAUCUCUUUUAUUUUAUAUUUAUUUCUCUAUUAUUAUUUGUUCAUUGGCUGGGUUAUUUGUAUUGUCUUUGUUUUUUUUUUUUUUUAAGAAAUCAUUUCAUUGAAAGAUAAAGCAGAGAUAAAGUACAUACACCAAAAAAUGAAGAGUAUAAUAAAUUAUUAUAGGAUAAAAUCUCUUUUAACCAGGUCAAGAAAUUAAAUGUUUCCAAGCCACCCCAGAUGGCUUUUUCAAGUGUCUUCCACCCAAAUGCAUAACCAAUAGCCUAACUGUUAUGGUAAUCUUUUUCUUGCAUUCUUAUAGUAUUAUCACCCAAGUAUGUAUUCCUGGAAACUAAUUUUACCUGAAUCACUUUUUUUAAAAAAUUAAAAUUAAGUCACUUUAAUAUAUAAUUCCCACCAUCGCCACCUCUACUUCUUUGUCUUCCUUACAAUUUGCCUUUUGAAGGCCUGAGAAUUCCCCACAGUCUAGCUCUUUCUCACUAUAUAUUCCCAGCAGAGUU